This 299-nucleotide ribosomal RNA is filed under the name uncultured bacterium. RNAcentral's name for it is "partial 16S ribosomal RNA". It matches the Rfam family "Bacterial small subunit ribosomal RNA", at positions 28 to 334 of the family's 1533-position model. The record is from RNAcentral.
GAUGAACGCUAGCGGAAGGCUUAAUACAUGCAAGUCGAGGGGCAGCAUUAUCGACAUUAGUUGAUAGAUGGCGACCGGCGCACGGGUGAGUAACGCGUACACUACCUACCUUUCACUACGGGAUAGUAUUGGGAAACUGAUAGUAAUACCGUAUGGUCCACUUCGGUGGUAAAGAGUUAUCGGUGGAAGAUGGGUGUGCGUUAGAUUAGCUAGUUGGUAAGGUAACGGCUUACCAAGGCGACGAUCUAUAGGGGGCGUGAGAGCGUGAUCCCCCACACGGGUACUGAGACACGGACCCG